Molecule: ribosomal RNA, 431 nt
Filed under: uncultured bacterium
Lineage: Bacteria
Description: bacterial SSU rRNA
Rfam family: Bacterial small subunit ribosomal RNA
Source: RNAcentral
UAGGGAAUAUUGCGCAAUGGACGAAAGUCUGACGCAGCGACGCCGCGUGUGGGAGGAAGCCUUUCGGGGUGUAAACCACUGUCAGAGGGGAAGAAUCUCGUCGGUCUGAAUAUGGCCGACGGCUGACGGUACCCUCAGAGGAAGCGCCGGCUAACUCCGUGCCAGCAGCCGCGGUAAGACGGAGGGCGCAAGCGUUGUUCGGAAUUACUGGGCGUAAAGGGCGGGCAGGCGGUCCGUUAAGUCUUCUGUGAAAAUCCGGGGCUCAACCCCGUGAAAUGCAGGAGAUACUGGCGGACUAGAGACCGGUAGAGGCUAGCGGAAUUCCUGGUGUAGCGGUGGAAUGCGUAGAUAUCAGGAAGAACACCUGUGGCGAAGGCGGCUAGCUGGGCCGGAUCUGACGCUCAUCCGCGAAAGCGUGGGGAGCAAACAGG